ACUACGGGAGGCAGCAGUGAGGAAUAUUGGUCAAUGGACGAGAGUCUGAACCAGCCAAGUAGCGUGAAGGAUGACUGCCCUAUGGGUUGUAAACUUCUUUUAUAAGGAAUAAAACGAGGCACGUGUGCCUUUUUGCAUGUACUUUAUGAAUAAGGAUCGGCUAACUCCGUGCCAGCAGCCGCGGUAAUACGGGGGGUCCGAGCGUUAUCCGGUUUUAUUGGGUUUAAAGGGAGAGUAGAUGGGUUGUUAAGUCAGUUGUGAAAGUUUGCGGGUCAAACGUAAAAUUGAAAGUGAUACUGGCAGUCUUGAGUACAGUAGAGGUAGGCGGAAUUCGUGGUGUAGCGGUGACAUGCUUAGAUAUCACGAAGAACCCCGAUUGCGAAGGCAGCUUACUAAACUGUGACUGACAUUGAUGCUCGAAAGUGUGGGUAUCAAACAGGAUUAGAUACCCUAGUAGUC
RNAcentral lists this ribosomal RNA (459 nucleotides) under uncultured bacterium. RNAcentral's name for it is "partial 16S ribosomal RNA". It matches the Rfam family "Bacterial small subunit ribosomal RNA", at positions 338 to 795 of the family's 1533-position model. The record is from RNAcentral.